Long non-coding RNA from Oreochromis niloticus (Nile tilapia), 2813 nucleotides. RefSeq lists it as uncharacterized. The record is from RefSeq and is a predicted model, not a curated record. The transcript is spliced from 4 exons. Lineage: Eukaryota; Metazoa; Chordata; Actinopteri; Cichliformes; Cichlidae.
AUAAUUUAUCCCAGCUCCAGCUCUCCAGAAGAGAAAUGCGCGUCCCCUGCUGUUGUGUCUGCACUGCUGUGAUUGACUUGAGGAGAAAUGGAGUGGAGUCCGUCGCACUGACACCAUCAAAGCGCCAUAUUUAAUGGAUCGCACCCAAGAGGGCUGGAGAGGUGCUGGAGUUUUUAAGACAGGGUACGAUCUGGAGAGGUUGCCCAUCUAUUGCAGAGAUGUCACAGUCACACCUAUGGACAGGUUAAACCAAACGCAUCACUGAUACUCUGCUCGGGCACACUUGCUCUCCUGCCAGCAGUACUGUGACUUCAAGGACAAACAACAUUAUUGGCGAUAGGACCAGAUCAUCUGUCAGCUGCUAGCUGGAAAGAACUGCUGGUGCCACAAACCUCGUGAAAGCUGAGUGAUUUUCCCUCAAACUGCAAAAACAUGUCAUUCAAUAUAGUACUGGACCUUAGAUUUGACAUCUACUUAAAAUCAAAGGAAUUUUAACCAUUUCUUUAUCAGUGUCCCCAGUUUGAAGAAGCUUGUUGUGCUAAGUGAUACCAUUCCCACAUCCCCCAAUGUUACAAGACUUGCAUGGAAAUCUAAAUCGGUAUCAUCUAAAUUUUUAUCAGUAGCUGACAAUUAUAAGCAGUGGAGGAAUUUUAUAGAACUAUUCCAUCAGUAGAUGUAUUAAUAAAACACCUCUCGGAUAAGAGGUGAAACUUCUGAAAUUAAUUAAUUUAAAAGAUACAUAUACUUCUAAAUGGUUGAUUAAAUUUUAUGUCAUCAGUGGCAUCACUGGUUUGUUUGUUAGAGUAUAGUUUUAAAUCUGGCUGGUGUCUGAUUACACUUAGUGUGCUGCUAAAUUAUAGUACAGCAAACUGAAAUUAUAAAGCUCUUGUGCUCAUUUUCUGCAAAUAAUUACUGGCAUUUUAUGCCACGGUCAGGAUGAAGCCCUGCAAGACCUGGUAAAUCAUAAGAGAGGAGGGAUUAAACGAGUGACCCACGAGGGACAAAUUACACGUUAUUCAUCACUCUGCUUUUAUUCAACUCUAGAAUGUGUUCAUCUUCACCCCGCGGGGGUCGAGAGGACUCUGUUGCUUUAGAUGCAGGUUAGCACGGGGAUGUGUUUAAGGGUCAGGGCAAGUUUGGCCAUGCUGUCUCUCUCCAUCUUUCUCAUGGCGAACAUCCUAACAUCCGCCCCCAUCUGCAUAUUCCCAGAGUGACAAAACUAGUUAGCUGAGUAAUAAAUCAAAGCUCGGCUGCCCAAUUUGGUUUCCUAAUGUAAUUAAUAAGUGCUAAAAGCAUUUAACCAGCUGUAAUUUGCGGAUGCCACUUUGAAGUAACUAUUUAAGGAAAACUUUGUGUGAACAGGAAGGAAAAAUAUUAGGUUGCCAAGAGAUAGGAACGCAAAAAGCUGUAUGUAAUAAUGCAGAACUCUGACAGCUGAAAACUGCUAAAAAAAAAAAAGAAAAGAAAAGAAAAAACUACUUCUAGAUCUGUUAAUAUUUGUCUGAUCAUUUGGGGGAAAUAAAGGAUUAUCUUAUUAUAAUCAGUUAUUGUUUAACAUUUUUUUCCAGUGAUUUGCCCACUGGAUCAGAUUUUAAGAUUCAUAACCUUGUUGUACAUACAGUGUUGUGUAUCAUAUUUUGACCUCAUAAUCCAGAUUAUGAUUUGAAAGUGCCUUUACUGAUUCUGACAUUUUAUUAAAUGCUUUGCUUAUGAUCUAUUAUUCUCAGUACAACCAGAAACUCCACUCCUGCCUAUCAGAAAGAUUGACUCCCUCAGAAAGGAUCUAUCAAUUAAAUCUCUUUUACAUUGAAACCAAUCCUUGCAGUCACUUCCAGACUUGCUUAAUCCCCAUCUUUACUUUCUCUUAGCAGCAAACCACUGAGAGGAUGCUACAGACAGAAGUGAGCAGAGUGAGGAAGCAGAGAGGGGUGAUUUGCCGAAGAGCAGAGCUUGUCAUGAGUGGAUUUAUGGCUAGGGAGACAGUGGCGGGAGGUGGGCGAAUUGAUGGGUGACACAUAAUCAGCCUCCUUAUCGCAGCCCCGCAAAACUGGAUUGCAUCCAGAGGCUUGUGAUCCGUCCGGAUUUGGCUAAUGUCUCCCACUCCUGUCCUGAGCCCCGACAGCUCUCCGUUAUCAGGGUCUGGCCUGCGCUUGCUUUCCUUUCCCCUGACUGCUAUUCCUCCACCCCUCCAUCUUCAGCCUCCUCCAUGUUGCCUGUAUCUUGACAGUGUCAGGUGAAGAGGAAACUAAGGAUUUGCUGCUGUUCUUGGGCUCACCAUCCAGUUUCAUGAACAAAUUUCAGCCAAGUUUUAGCUGCUGGACAGACUGGAGUUCAUGGCCGAAUUAAAGACUGCAAGUUGUCCAAGUCCUCUGGCUGCAAAACAAACCCAAAUCAUCACCCUUCGACCAUCCUGCUUGAUGCUUGGUAUGAGGUGUUUGUGUUAAUAUGCUGUAUUUGGUUUAUGCCAAACAGGUGCUGUACAUUAUGGUCAAAUAUCUGCACUUUAGUCCAAAAGGGAUUGUUCUAGAAGUCUUGGGGUUUGUUCAGAUGCAACUUUGCAAAUGUAAGCUGUGCUGCCACGUUCUUUUAAGAGGGAAGAAGCUUUCUCUUGGGGAUCCUUCCAAACAAGCCACAACUGGUCGUCGUUUUCUAACUGUAAUGUUAUGAUCUACUGUACUGUACUCUUUCAGUUUUUCACUUCUAUAGUUAAUCAAGUGGAUUUACCAACAGAGACAAAUAAAAUAAUAGCAGGCUGCAAAAUUAGAAAUGAUCUGUCCAUACUGUGUUACAAAUAUCUGAUAGAUUUAGCUCUA